AGCUCCAAUAGCGUAUAUUAAUGUUGUUGCAGUUAAAAAGCUCGUAGUUGAAUUUCUGGUUUCGAUAUUAGCUGGCUUCGGUCGUUAAUCUCGAUAUCAUCCGUUAGAGAACUACAGCCGUCCUUAACUGGUCACUGUAGAGAUCUAACAUUUUACUUUGAAAAAAUUAGAGUGUUCAAGGCAGGCAAUCGUCAUGAAUACUACAGCAUGGAAUAAUGGAAUAGGACUUUGGUUCAUUUUAUUGGUUAUUGAACCUUAGUAAUGAUUAACAGGGACAGUUGGGGGCAUUUGUAUUUAAUUGUCAGAGGUGAAAUUCUUGGAUUUAUUAAAGACAAACUUAUGCGAAAGCAUCUGCCAAAGAUGUUUUCAUUA
This 372-nucleotide ribosomal RNA is filed under the name Urotricha sp. RNAcentral describes it as "partial small subunit ribosomal RNA". It matches the Rfam family "Eukaryotic small subunit ribosomal RNA", at positions 587 to 975 of the family's 1831-position model. The record is from RNAcentral. Lineage: Eukaryota; Ciliophora; Prostomatea; Prorodontida; Urotrichidae.